This 515-nucleotide ribosomal RNA is filed under the name uncultured bacterium. Its description in RNAcentral is "bacterial SSU rRNA". It matches the Rfam family "Bacterial small subunit ribosomal RNA", at positions 8 to 518 of the family's 1533-position model. The record is from RNAcentral.
AGAGUUGAUCUGGCUCAGAUGAACGCUGGCGGCAGGCUUAACACAUGCAAGUCGAGCGGGGAUAGGGUGCUUGCACCUGAUUCCUAGCGGCGGACGGGUGAGUAAUGCUUAGGAAUCUGCCUAUUAGUGGGGGACAACGUUCCGAAAGGGACGCUAAUACCGCAUACGUCCUACGGGAGAAAGCAGGGGAUCUUCGGACCUUGCGCUAAUAGAUGAGCCUAAGUCGGAUUAGCUAGUUGGUGGGGUAAAGGCCUACCAAGGCGACGAUCUGUAGCGGGUCUGAGAGGAUGAUCCGCCACACUGGGACUGAGACACGGCCCAGACUCCUACGGGAGGCAGCAGUGGGGAAUAUUGGACAAUGGGGGCAACCCUGAUCCAGCCAUGCCGCGUGUUGUGAAGAAGGCCUUUUGGUUGUAAAGCACUUUAAGCGAGGAGGAGGCUUACCUGGUUAAUACCCGGGAUAAGUGGACGUUACUCGCAGAAUAAGCACCGGCUAACUCUGUGCCAGCCGCUGC